This 496-nucleotide ribosomal RNA is filed under the name uncultured bacterium. Its description in RNAcentral is "partial 16S ribosomal RNA". It matches the Rfam family "Bacterial small subunit ribosomal RNA", at positions 28 to 506 of the family's 1533-position model. The record is from RNAcentral.
GAUGAACGCUGGCGGCGUGCCUAAUACAUGCAAGUCGAGCGAACGGACGAGAAGCUUGCUUCUCUGAUGUUAGCGGCGGACGGGUGAGUAACACGUGGAUAACCUACCUAUAAGACUGGGAUAACUUCGGGAAACCGGAGCUAAUACCGGAUGAUAUUUUGAACCGCAUGGUUCAAAAGUGAAAGACGGUCUUGCUGUCACUUAUAGAUGGAUCCGCGCUGCAUUAGCUAGUUGGUAAGGUAACGGCUUACCAAGGCAACGAUGCAUAGCCGACCUGAGAGGGUGAUCGGCCACACUGGAACUGAGACACGGUCCAGACUCCUACGGGAGGCAGCAGUAGGGAAUCUUCCGCAAUGGGCGAAAGCCUGACGGAGCAACGCCGCGUGAGUGAUGAAGGUCCUCGGAUCGUAAAACUCUGUUAUUAGGGAAGAACAUAUGUGUAAGUAACUGUGCACAUCUUGACGGUACCUAAUCAGAAAGCCACGGCUAACUACGU